This 495-nucleotide ribosomal RNA is filed under the name uncultured bacterium. Its description in RNAcentral is "partial 16S ribosomal RNA". It matches the Rfam family "Bacterial small subunit ribosomal RNA", at positions 28 to 507 of the family's 1533-position model. The record is from RNAcentral.
GAUGAACGCUGGCGGCGUGCCUAAUACAUGCAAGUAGAACGCUGAAGGAGGAGCUUGCUCUUCUGGAUGAGUUGCGAACGGGUGAGUAACGCGUAGGUAACCUGCCUGGUAGCGGGGGAUAACUACUGGAAACGAUAGCUAAUACCGCAUGACAACAGUUAUUGCAUGAUAACUGUUUAAAAGGGGCAACUGCUCCACUACCAGAUGGACCUGCGUUGUAUUAGCUAGUUGGUGAGGUAACGGCUCACCAAGGCGACGAUACAUAGCCGACCUGAGAGGGUGAUCGGCCACACUGGGACUGAGACACGGCCCAGACUCCUACGGGAGGCAGCAGUAGGGAAUCUUCGGCAAUGGACGGAAGUCUGACCGAGCAACGCCGCGUGAGUGAAGAAGGUUUUCGGAUCGUAAAGCUCUGUUGUAAGAGAAGAACGAGUGUGAGAGUGGAAAGUUCACACUGUGACGGUAUCUUACCAGAAAGGGACGGCUAACUACGUG